UUGACCGGCCGUUCGCGGAUCAUCGGCACUGCCAAGAUCGGCAUCUGCAGCCGGCACAUGUAGCUGGUCCAGCAGGCGGUGAAGGUCAUCACGCAGAUCAGAAUACGCAUCGGGAUCCAUCCUGUGUGUCGAGAGCCGAAGGAUGACGAGGAACGAAGCCGCCCCGAGAGGUGUGUCGCGCCGUGGAACAGCCGCGGAUUACCGAAAAUCGAGCGAUUGGCAGUCAGCAACCGACAGCGACCGACUGCGCGAGGUGCAACCUCGAGUAAACGCGCAGCUAAUCGGAACUCGGUAACGCGGCGGCGAAAACAGGCCGAAAAAGAAAAGGACACCCUGCUGCAAACCCGAGUUCUGUUAUUUUGACACGUCGUUUAACGCGUUCAAACGCGUUAAGUGAAUAUCGAAAUGCAUCAAGUGACGUGAUUUCAGACGACAA
This is a long non-coding RNA of Harpegnathos saltator (Jerdon's jumping ant), 436 nucleotides long. RefSeq lists it as uncharacterized. The record is from RefSeq and is a predicted model, not a curated record. NCBI's taxonomy places the organism in Eukaryota, Metazoa, Arthropoda, Insecta, Hymenoptera, Formicidae. The transcript is spliced from 2 exons.